Molecule: non-coding RNA, 3081 nt
Organism: Mesocricetus auratus (golden hamster)
Lineage: Eukaryota; Metazoa; Chordata; Mammalia; Rodentia; Cricetidae
Source: the annotation of a RefSeq genome assembly
ACUGCCUCUCUGGGCCUUCAUUUUUUUUUUUUUUUUUUUGGUUUUUUGGGCCUUCAUUUUUAACGUUUGCCUGUGGAGUUUUCUGAUCAUUUCAGACUAGUCCUGGAGAUUUGUCUCUGAGGGAACAUGGGUGGCUGGUGGGGUGAGACUGGGGACUAACUGCCUAGGGGGGUCUCAGAGUCUUGAGGGUGAUUCUACACCUUUGGAAAACUACUAGGGAAGGACCUGUCUGAUGGUAUUGGGGGAGACAGACCCUGGAUGAUGGGGCAAGGGACUUGAGGGCCUCGUUUGAAUGAGAUGCUAAAAAAGACCCAUGUCUGGAGGGAUUACUUUGAACUGUGGUGUUCAGUGUUUGGAGUCACAGUGUUGGCUGAGAAAUGUCCUUCACGGCCACGUCGGUGGCAGCAUUCCUGCAGCGGCAGCCUGCACAGGCACGGAGAGUGGGUAGAGCACUUUCUUUAGAUUUGCGAGGAAAGUUCUGCACUUAAUUGCUUAAAACUUUGUUGUUGGGAAGAGAACUGUCUGAGUGAAUCAAGCAAGGAAGGCAGCUAGCCUUGGUCUUAGAGAUAGGCAGCGGGCUCAUCUCAGAAAGACAGCUGCUACCUAAAGGAGUAUGGGGAGCCUACAGACAGAAGUCCAGCAUUCCAAAAAAAAAGUGCUUAUGGAAUAUUAGAAGGUAUUAUUAUUUCUAUCCUUAACAUGGUUCCUGAGAAAAAUAGCUAGAACACUGUGACUCAAAAAUGGGAGAGAUUUUUCAAGUAUUCAUUUUUUUCAAAUGUCCAAGUAUCAAAAAUUCUAGUCACUUAAUUUGAAGUCAUUUUCGUCUAGAAUUGGCAUUUCUGAAAGUUCCACUGAGGGAUGGCGACUCGGAUCUUUCACACCCUAUUCAGAACUGAUUUUUUAAUAACAACAAAUUAAUUUUAAAGUAUUUUUAAGUGAAUUGGGCAAAGCUGAGAUGGAGUCAAAAGAUGGCUGACCAGGACCAGGACACCUGCUGCAGCUGGCAGGAAGCAGGUCAUGUGGCAAGGCUAUUUUGGGAAGGAAAAAUAAAGCCCCGAGGUAAAUUUCUAGCUGUGGUUUGAAGAGGUAGUUUCGAAAUGUUUUGCCCAGCCCCAUAGAACUGAAAGUCCAGACUGAGCAAAACAACACCUGGGUAAUUUGCAUUUCUAAAAUAAGUUGAGGAUUCAGCCGAAACUGGAAACAUCCUCUUUUAGCCUAAGGCCAAGCUUUCAGUUUUAACUUGGGAAGUUCUAGUUUCCAAAGACUUAAUUUUAUCUACUUCUAAAAUGUAUUCCUUCUCAAACAUAGACUAAGUGACAGACUCAGUCUAUUUAAUUUCUAAUGUAUUUAAUUUCUAAUGUAGUUAGAAAACUUUUCAAAAUUACUUGAUUAUUCCUCCCUCUGAUGAUUGAUUUCAACUCAGCUCUUUUCCCAACACCCAAAACGUUUACAGUGACUUUGCUCAUGAUUUUUUAAGCUAGUUGUUUUGCUUUUAUGAUUAAGAAAGACUUUGACUUCAUGAUAAAGACGGCUCUCUUGGCUCCCUACGUCUUUCUCAAGACUGCUUUCUAAGUAUUCAUUUUAAGAAAAAGCUUUUUUUUUAAUGAAUGCAAUUAUCUAGAAUUAUUUCAGUUGGACAUGCAGUUGAUGGCUGAGAAGACACUCAGUCAGAUAGUGAUAAAGAAAGGAAGCAUCUAAGCCAGGGACAUGUUCUGUUUGAACCCCCACUGGCCCUGCCCCAAAGAUCUGAGACCCUGUUGGUGCUGGGCAGACCCGGACUUUGGGUCUCCCGGGUUCAUCCAGACCUGGGAAUGUACAGUUGUGGUGGCUUCUGCCACCCAUCCACCUGGCUGCUUGUGGACCAGCCAGUCUUGAUGGCCUUGAAGUUCCACUCAAAGACCCCGGACCUCCCUGAAACCAGGCACCCCAAACGCCUCUGAAGAGGAACCUCAAGUGCUGCUCCUCAUCUCAGAGUGCACGGCCCCUACCAGAAACAAGUCGGUGGACCUGAUCUGCUCGGUAUUAGGAGAAAAGCCGUUGGAAAUCACCAUUGAAUCAAAAGCAAAGCACAAGACGGAGAGGACCUUCGACUUCAGGCUUAGCAGUGGCAAACAUAUGGUGAUUCGACAGCUCUCUACGUGGACCUCAGAACUGGGUGGUAACCCCAUUUGCACCAUGAGAGGCCAGUUCAACAAGAACAUUACGAAGACUUUACGAUUGCCUGCUUCUUCCAUUACAGAGGAACAGAAUGCUCAGUCCUCCCAGAAAACCACUCCACCUCCCCAAGCAGAGGAGCCCUUCCCAGAGGCCACCAAAGCUGCUGACCUCCAAACGGACACAGUAGAGGCCAUUGCACCCAGAAACCUCUCUGUGAACUUCCUGGUCACGCCAACCCAUCCUGAGAUGUCAUCAUGGCUCCUGUGUGAAGUUUCUGGCUUCUUUCCCCACCAUAUCCACCUAACAUGGAGGUCCCAAAGUGAGAUAAACCCUUCGUACUUUGCCACUGCACAACCCAUCCCACAGCCUGGGGGCAACACAUACCAGACCUGGAGUGUCUUGAGAACACCGGUCACUCUGAAGUCUUCACCUGACACUUACACUUGUGUGGUGGAACAUGGAGCCUCACGGACCAAGCUUAAUGCCAGCAAAAGCCUGGACGUGAGCGGCACGGUCAACACCAUCCCCAACGUGUGCUUCAGAGACGAGCAAAACGACAGCUACGUGGACCUAGAGGACAACGGCCUGUGGCCCACACUGUGCACCUUUGUGGCUCUCUUCCUGCUCACAUUGCUCUACAGCGGCUUCAUCACCUUCAUGAAGGUGAAGUAGACCAGGACUGCAACUACAAAAAAAAAGUGCUUUCCCUCAAUGUGAAGCCCACAGAGAGGAUGUCUUCUAUGCGGAGAGAAGCUCCAAGCCCUCUUCCCGACCCCCUGUUCUCUAUCCAGCCUCCCAGACACAAAAUGGCCGGCAUCUUUGGCUGUAGGCAAAGCAGGCGACUUGCUGCACUAGCCCGGCUCCUCACUGUGCCCUGCCUUCCACCAAGCCCCCAUCCUCCCAUAAACACGCCAUGGUUCACUC